AAGUCGUAACAAGGUUUCCGUAGGUGAACCUGCGGAAGGAUCAUUAAACGUUUCCACGUAUAUACCAAACCGCGAACUGUUUUAAACCCACUAUAAGUAAGAUUGUAAAGGCGAUGAGCCCCGCGGGUGCAGUUGAAGUCUUCGGACUUCCGCGAAUCGCUUGUCCGUAAGGGAGUCUUACUUAUGGUAACUGUACCUCAGUUUAUUAACCAUUAUGAACCAACUUUGUAACUACUAAAUAGUUGAAGUGUAAAAACUUUAACGAUUUAUUAAAUCUAAGCACAAUUCUUAGCAACGGAUAUCUAGGCUCUC
This 312-nucleotide unclassified non-coding RNA is filed under the name air metagenome. RNAcentral describes it as "partial contains small subunit ribosomal RNA and internal transcribed spacer 1". The stretch from base 1 to 46 matches the Rfam family "Eukaryotic small subunit ribosomal RNA", at positions 1786 to 1831 of the family's 1831-position model. The record is from RNAcentral.